GCCAACGGCCAUAGGGAGGAGGUCACACCCGGUCUCUUCUCGAACCCGGAAGUUAAGCUCCUCUACGGCGUUGCUGGUACUGCACUUCGUGCGGGAAAGCGCGCUGCUGUUGGCA
This 115-nucleotide ribosomal RNA is filed under the name Microcaldota archaeon. Lineage: Archaea; Nanobdellati; Microcaldota. The record is from RNAcentral.